GGGUUGCUAACUCAACGGUAGAGUACUCGGCUUUUAACCGACUAGGUCCGGGUUCGAAUCCCGGGCAACCCA
RNAcentral lists this transfer RNA (72 nucleotides) under Platycodon grandiflorus (balloon flower). Its description in RNAcentral is "tRNA-Lys". It matches the Rfam family "tRNA". Rfam says of the family: Transfer RNA (tRNA) molecules are approximately 80 nucleotides in length. RNAcentral also lists the same sequence under 4 other names. Lineage: Eukaryota; Viridiplantae; Streptophyta; Magnoliopsida; Asterales; Campanulaceae. The record is from RNAcentral.